AUUGAACGCUGGCGGCAGGCCUAACACAUGCAAGUCGAGCGAGCGGCGGACGGGUGAGUAAUGUAUGGGGAACUGCCUGAUGGAGGGGGAUAACUACUGGAAACGGUAGCUAAUACCGCAUACCAUCGGAUGUACCCAUAUGGGAUUAGCUGGUAGGUGGGGUAACGGCUGACCUAGGCGACGAUCCCUAGCUGGUCUGAGAGGAUGACCAGCCACACUGGAACUGAGACACGGCCCAGACUCCGACGGGAGGCAGCAGUGGGGAAUAUUGCACAAUGGGCGCAAGCCUGAUGCAGCCAUGCCGCGUGUAUGAAGAAGGCCUUAGGGUUGUAAAGUACGUUCAGCCGGGAGGCGUUACCGACAGAAGAAGCACCGGCUAACUCCGUGCCAGCAGCCGCGGUAAUAC
This 406-nucleotide ribosomal RNA is filed under the name uncultured bacterium. RNAcentral describes it as "partial 16S ribosomal RNA". It matches the Rfam family "Bacterial small subunit ribosomal RNA", at positions 30 to 526 of the family's 1533-position model. The record is from RNAcentral.